This is a long non-coding RNA of Aethina tumida (small hive beetle), 359 nucleotides long. RefSeq lists it as uncharacterized. The transcript has 2 exons. NCBI's taxonomy places the organism in Eukaryota, Metazoa, Arthropoda, Insecta, Coleoptera, Nitidulidae. The record is from RefSeq and is a predicted model, not a curated record.
GCUUAGUAUCAUAUUCGUUUCGUUGUUGGGUCGAACUGAACGAAGCAGUGGUCGCGUCUUACUUAUGUACCCGAGUCUGACCUUUUUCUUAUCGAAGAUAACUCUUUUCUUUUAUUAGGUAAUGAUAAACUGCAAUUUUAUGUGAUGCAAUGCAUUCAAUUUGUGCUGUCAUUAUUUGCAUUGCAGUGGAAUUAAAUCAUCACAAAAUUUACCUAAGUUCCUUAAUAACCCGGAAAACAUGUUGUUUAAUUAGUACAUCUUCAUUAACGAUUGGGGCCACGUUAAUUAAUAAAUAAUGUUUAAAUAAUUAAGUAGUAAAUUCAAGUUGAAACGAAGAGUUACAUUGAUAUUUUAUUAUU